ACAUACGACCAUAGAUAACAGAGAAUUCGGGGUCCCGUCUGCUCCCCCAUAGACAAGCUGUUGUUAAUCGGCAGAUUAGUAGUAGUUGGGUCGGUGACGACCAGCGAACACCGGCUGUUGUAUGUU
RNAcentral lists this ribosomal RNA (126 nucleotides) under Cordyceps fumosorosea ARSEF 2679. The record is from RNAcentral. Lineage: Eukaryota; Fungi; Ascomycota; Sordariomycetes; Hypocreales; Cordycipitaceae.